UCGAGAGGCUUCGGCAAUGGGGGAAACCCUGACCGAGCGACGCCGCGUGGGGGAUGAAGGCCCUUGGGUUGUAAACCCCUUUUGUUCGGAAAGAAAUGCGAUCAGGUUAAUAAUCUGGUCGUUUGACGUUACCGACAGAAUAAGCACCGGCUAACUCUGUGCCAGCAGCCGCGGUAAUACAGAGGGUGCAAGCGUUAAUCGGAAUUACUGGGCGUAAAGCGCGCGUAGGUGGUUCAUUAAGUUGGAUGUGAAAUCCCCGGGCUCAACCUGGGAACUGCAUUCAAAACUGACGAGCUAGAGUAUGGUAGAGGGUGGUGGAAUUUCCUGUGUAGCGGUGAAAUGCGUAGAUAUAGGAAGGAACACCAGUGGCGAAGGCGACCACCUGGACUGAUACUGACACUGAGGUGCGAAAGCGUGGGGAGCAAACAGGAUUAGAUACCCGAGUAGUCCCUGAGCGGGCUGGCAAGGCGCAU
RNAcentral lists this ribosomal RNA (473 nucleotides) under uncultured bacterium. RNAcentral's name for it is "bacterial SSU rRNA". It matches the Rfam family "Bacterial small subunit ribosomal RNA", at positions 355 to 825 of the family's 1533-position model. The record is from RNAcentral.